GGAAUGUACCUUUUCUAACAUAAGAAGUAGUCUAGUUUUCAACACAUAGAUUUUGAUGAAUCCUCACAUUAAAGACCUCCCCUGAAAGACCUGAGAAUCAUGCCUGUCGGUCUGCGAGCAAUAAGAUGAAAUUUGGUACCAGCGCUGAACUCUUUUCGGCAACAAGGCAGAAAAGCUUGUAUGAGUCAUCCACAGAGGCAAUGGCGGAUGUUGAUAACUUUGAGGUCACAGACGUUAAAUUAUUCUGAGGUUCCUUUCCAGCUCACCCAAGCUGCCUAGCUGGGAGUCCGCAACUAAAUACGAAAGCGGUGUCUUACCUCGUCGUUCGUGAGAAGUUUUACAGUUGACGGACACGUCUUCCAAGCUCUGGGUGUGAGGGCUACCUGCAAAUACAGAAGCAACUGCAUGAGGAACUCGAAUGGACAACAACGAUUCGACGGAGCGGAUGGUCAAAAGAUUGCUAGCGAUUCCUACCUUCGCGAGCUCCCUUCCCACUUGGCAUUUUGGAAUGCAAUUAGAUGACCAUUCCUGGAUUCACUCACUUCCCAAAAAAGACCACUCGAGUGGUGAUUGAAUGUGCAUUCCUUCUCAAAAACAAAAGGAAUUUAUGAUACUUUUCAUGCAAAGGAAUUUACCACUCUUCACAAGCUGACGUCAAUGAGCUGCUGGACUGGCAUACCAAACAGCUGACAUUCGAUGAAAUAUCAGAACAAACGGAUACUGUAGAAUCCACCAAUGACAAUGGGUUUCGGCUUACUUGAAAAAGUCUUUGGAGAUUCUAACAAAGCGACCCAAGAAAUGAUAGCUUUAUAGAAAUUUCACGUGAAGAGUAUCAUUGAAUUUUGUUAGGUUUUACGAGGCCACUGACAUCGAAACAAGUUUGCUUAUUUUAAAUUGCACUCUAAUCCAAGACAGCCACAACCGUCUUGGAUACGCUGACUCGAAGGUGUAUACUUUACUCAGAGUUCUUCCAAAAUUGCUAAAUAACUACAUCAAUGCUCUUCCUACUAGAGUUUUUUUUUUUUUUUUUU
Long non-coding RNA from Argiope bruennichi, 1031 nucleotides. RefSeq lists it as uncharacterized. The record is from RefSeq and is a predicted model, not a curated record. The transcript has 3 exons. NCBI's taxonomy places the organism in Eukaryota, Metazoa, Arthropoda, Arachnida, Araneae, Araneidae.